RNAcentral lists this unclassified non-coding RNA (407 nucleotides) under uncultured Mortierella. Its description in RNAcentral is "partial contains 5.8S ribosomal RNA, internal transcribed spacer 2, and large subunit ribosomal RNA". The stretch from base 1 to 102 matches the Rfam family "5.8S ribosomal RNA", at positions 53 to 154 of the family's 154-position model. Lineage: Eukaryota; Fungi; Mortierellomycota; Mortierellomycetes; Mortierellales; Mortierellaceae. The record is from RNAcentral.
AUGCGAUACGUAAUGUGAAUUGCAGAAUUCAGUGAAUCAUCGAAUCUUUGAACGCAUAUUGCGCUCUUUGGUAUUCCGAAGAGCAUGCUUGUUUGAGUAUCAGUAAACACCUCAAAACUCUUGAUCUUUUUCAAGCGUUUUGGACUUGAGCAAACCCAACGCCUUUUCUUUUAAGAUCUGUUGCGGCGGGUUGCUUGAAAUGCAGGUGCAGCUGGACAAUCUCCUGAGCUAAAAGCAUAUUUAUUUAGUCCCGUCAAACGGAUUAUUACUUUUUGCUGCAGCUAACAUAAAGGGAGUUUUGACCAUUAUGGCUGACUGAUGCAGGAUUUCACAGAGAAAAGGCCGGCAACGGUUUUGUCUCUGUCAAACUCGAUCUCAAAUCAAGUAAGACUACCCGCUGAACUUAA